This is a long non-coding RNA of Catharus ustulatus (Swainson's thrush), 1435 nucleotides long. RefSeq lists it as uncharacterized. The record is from RefSeq and is a predicted model, not a curated record. NCBI's taxonomy places the organism in Eukaryota, Metazoa, Chordata, Aves, Passeriformes, Turdidae. The transcript is spliced from 3 exons.
GAACAGGUGGCCCCAGCAGCGAGUGACAGCCAGUGUCCAUGGUUGGGGACAGCGGGAUGGCCGGGAAGGUGGCGCUGCUCCUGUGGGCCCAGACCCUCGGCCUCGCUGGUGAGUCCUCGGGGGAUGCCAUGUCCCUGCCCCGCUGUCCCCAGCCCCGUGGUGGCCCUGGCAGGCUGGUGUCCCCUGUCACCCGCAGAUGCCCAGACUCCCCAGCAGACCCUGUCUGCUCUUGGAGUGUCUGCCCCAUCCACGCUGGAACCCAGGAGUUGGAAACUGUCUUGGGUUAAAACAGAAACGUCUACUGAGGAAAGCAGGAACCUUCCUGAAAUGGAAAGACGAUCCGUCCCUCCAAUUUGUGAUAACUGUGAAAAUAAUGGGGCUUCAAGACAAAAACGUAAUAAAAGCAAUAACAGUUCAUUGCUAGGAAAUUGAUAGAACAGAAGAGAACAAACAGCAAUAUCAGAACAGAAAUUUCCAACCCGGUCAGGGCUGUUUGUUCAUCUUUGGUGCAGUUCUGGGCACGGCCAGCAGGGGGCGGUGCAGGGAGCACUCCCGGCCAGCAGGGAACGCUGCAGGGAGCACUCCCGACCAGCAGGGGGCGCUGCAGGGAGCACUCCCGGCCAGCAGGGGGCGCUGCAGGGAGCACUCCCGGCCAACAGGGGGCACUGCAGGGAGCACUCCCGGCCAGCAGGGGUUGCCCCGGUGCCAGCUCCAACCCCUCAGGGGCCAUGGCGGCCUCGGCACCGCAGGGAAGUCGGUGACAGUGCUACCCCCUGCACUUUUGUGCUUGGCAUCAUGUGCCAGCAGCAGAGUUGGCAGCAGCGACAGCUGGGAUCCUCUCACAGCAGCGGGAACAGCGGAGGAAGGGAUCCCCCUGUCGCCCCAGGAACAGAGACGGAUUCUGCCCCUGUGGAUCUUGAUGGCCUCAGGGGACACUGUGCCGUGGGGUGACCCAAAGCCAUGUGCUGCUGUGGCUCUGCUGUGCCAGGCCAUGGAUCCACACAGCCCGAGGGAUCCCAGUGUCCCUUUGGCCCAUCUGGCAGGAGCCAGGGACCCUCCAGCCCUGGUCAUGGCACUCUCUGAUCACUCCUUGUAAAUAUGACCUGGAGGUCCCUUCCAGAGGAUGGGAAGUAACAUCAUCCCUUCUGUUGAUGAGAACUUCCCCACAGGAGACUGGAGCAGAUUUAUCCUUGUAAAAUGUCCUGUGGUGGUUGUUGUUCCUUUCAACUCACAUCCCUGUGCUGCUAGGGCACAGGUGGGUUUUCCAUCCCAUUUCUUCUCCAUGGUCCUGUUGGUAAAACCACAGGUUUGGGAGCUCUGGGAGGAGGAGGAGAGCAGAGCAAGAGCCCUGUGGAAAACACCGCUCAGAAAAUGUAAUUUAUUGGAAAAUUCAGUCAAUAGAUGUGCUGGUUUGAAAGUAUACUAGUGAGAGAAA